CACGUAGGGGGCAAGCGUUGUCCGGAUUUAUUGGGCGUAAAGAGCUCGUAGGCGGUUCGAUAAGUCGGGUGUGAAACCUCCAGGCUCAACCUGGAGACGCCACCCGAUACUGUCGUGGCUAGAGUCCAGUAGGGGAGCGUGGAAUUCCUGGUGUAGCGGUGAAAUGCGCAGAUAUCAGGAGGAACACCAGCGGCGAAGGCGGCGCUCUGGGCUGGCACUGACGCUGAGGAGCGAAAGCGUGGGGAGCGAACAGG
Molecule: ribosomal RNA, 254 nt
Filed under: uncultured bacterium
Lineage: Bacteria
Description: partial 16S ribosomal RNA
Rfam family: Bacterial small subunit ribosomal RNA
Source: RNAcentral